Long non-coding RNA from Suricata suricatta (meerkat), 180 nucleotides. RefSeq lists it as uncharacterized. The record is from RefSeq and is a predicted model, not a curated record. The transcript is spliced from 2 exons. Lineage: Eukaryota; Metazoa; Chordata; Mammalia; Carnivora; Herpestidae.
AAGCCUACAGAUGAUUGUCACCCCUCCUGACUUCCUGACUGCAACCACAUGAGGUUAUAAGAAGCUGACGAUCCAUCCCUGAGGGAGAACUGUUCCUGAAAAGCCAAUAUGCCUGGGGCUGUGGGAGCCCUGAAGUCUGUCCUGAGUUUUACUCUGAUUGAUGAAUCAGCAUCUUCAUAA